RNAcentral lists this ribosomal RNA (791 nucleotides) under uncultured Methanosarcinaceae archaeon. Its description in RNAcentral is "bacterial SSU rRNA". It matches the Rfam family "Archaeal small subunit ribosomal RNA", at positions 85 to 879 of the family's 1478-position model. Lineage: Archaea; Methanobacteriati; Methanobacteriota; Methanomicrobia; Methanosarcinales; Methanosarcinaceae. The record is from RNAcentral.
ACGGCUCAGUAACACGUGGAUAACAUGCCCUAAGGUGGGGGAUAAUCUCGGGAAACUGAGGAUAAUACCCCAUAGGUCUGAUGUGCUGGAAUGCUUUCAGGCCGAAAACUCCGGUGCCUUAGGAUUGGUCUGCGGUCUAUCAGGCUGUAGUGGGUGUAAUGGACCCACUAGCCCGUGACGGAUAUGGGCCUUGAGAGAGGGAGCCCAGAGAUGGACUCUGAGACAUGAGUCCAGGCCCUACGGGGCGCAGCAGUCGCGAAAACUUCGCAAUGGGGGCAACCCCGACGAGGGAAUUCCAAGUGCCAGCACUUUGUGUUGGCUGUUCUCCUGUCUAAAAAACAGGAGGAGUAAGGGGCGGGUAAGACGGGUGCCAGCCGCCGCGGUAAUACCCGCGCCCCAAGUGGUGGUCGAUAUUAUUGAGCCUAAAACGUCCGUAGCCGGUCUUCUAAAUCCUUGGGUAAAUCGGGCAGCUUAACUGUCCGAAGUCCGGGGAGACUGGGAGACUUGGGACCGGGAGAGGUCAGAGGUACUUCUGGGGUAGGGGUAAAAUCCUGUAAUCCUGGAAGGACCACCGGUGGCGAAGGCGUCUGACUAGAACGGAUCCGACGGUGAGGGACGAAGCCCUGGGGCGCAAACGGGAUUAGAUACCCCGGUAGUCCAGGGUGUAAACGCUGCGGGCUUGGUGUUGGGGGUCCUUAGUGGGCGCCCAGUGCCGGAGAGAAGUUGUUAAGCCUGCUGCUUGGGGAGUAUGCCCGCAAGGAUGAAACUUAAAGGAAUUGGCGGGGGAGCAC